CUAUGCUUUGGUAGAACUCUACCCUUACCAUGUUGUGACCUGAAUUUUAUUUGUGAAAAAAUCUGCUCAGUGACAAAUCUACGGGAGGUAUGAAGAUUCUGUUAAGAUGUCAUAUUACAACUGACAAGUACCAUACUAUUAUCUUCUUAACAUAAAUGGCAUAGCAGAAUGUAUUAUAUCAUCUUAAAGACUGCUUCUGCUGCAAUGUACUUAUGUCUGUUUUCCUUGGUUGUAGGUUCCUUGUGUUCCUGUGAUAUACGGUCUGAAGAACUCCCUGUUUAUUGAGCAACCCUCUGCGCAGGAACGCAAGUUUGCUCAGUUGGAUGAGGAGAAGCGUAUACAUAUGGAAAAAUCAGAGUUUAAGAAGCUUCAUCAGAAGGAAAGAUGUCUGUUGACGGAAACAUACCCGGAUUAGUUGCAGAGAAAAGCAAGUUUAAAAGGAACAGAGCAAAGGGCCCGAACCCACUAUCCUGCAAGAAAAAGAAACCAAAGCCCCAGCCAUCAGCUGAUCAAAAUCAGAACAUGAUUCCUUCAGGGUCCGAAGACCGAUGCUGAGGCAAAGCGAAAGAGGGUUAGGAAACGGAAGAGAAGCGUCAAAGAUAGCAAUCAAGCAGAGACAGCGAGCUGAUGGACCUACAAAAAAGUGCAAAACAAUGGUGCCAUUUUGCUGCUCUGGCCCCAAUCUGCUGCACCCAAUGCUAAGAUUAUGUGCCGAUGGUGUUUCUUCAAAUGUCAUACACAAUCCUCAGGAAAAACUUGAUUGACCAUAUGUCGUUGCAAGAGGAUUGUAGCUGGAAACUUUUGAGAAAGCAACACUAGUAGUUUGUUAAGGGCGGUUUGAAGUUGUAAAUUUCGUCCUCGCUAGUAAUCUAUAUGAAUUUAUCCAAAGCUUUUGGAUUGUAUUAUGAAGAAAGCAACCACCGAUUCCUGCAAACUUGCGGAUCGGUUC
Molecule: long non-coding RNA, 949 nt
Organism: Triticum aestivum (bread wheat)
Lineage: Eukaryota; Viridiplantae; Streptophyta; Magnoliopsida; Poales; Poaceae
Exons: 3
Source: RefSeq, a predicted model, not a curated record